Molecule: ribosomal RNA, 253 nt
Filed under: uncultured prokaryote
Description: partial 16S ribosomal RNA
Rfam family: Bacterial small subunit ribosomal RNA
Source: RNAcentral
UACGGAGGAUGCAAGCGUUAUCCGGAUUUAUUGGGUUUAAAGGGUGCGCAGGUUGUUUGACAAGUCAGUGGUGAGAGUCUGCCGCUUAACGGAAGGAUUGCCAUUGAUACUGUUGGACUUGAGUAUGGAUAAGGUAUGCGGAAUGUGUAGUGUAGCGGUGAAAUGCAUAGAUAUUACACAGAACACCGAUUGCGAAGGCAGCAUACUGGGCCAUUACUGACGCUGAGGCACGAAAGCGUGGGGAUCAAACAGG